RNAcentral lists this ribosomal RNA (167 nucleotides) under uncultured bacterium. Its description in RNAcentral is "partial 16S rRNA". It matches the Rfam family "Bacterial small subunit ribosomal RNA", at positions 353 to 511 of the family's 1533-position model. The record is from RNAcentral.
GGUAGGGAAGUCUUCCACAAUGGACGCAAGUCUGAUGGAGCAACGCCGCGUGAGUGAAGAAGGUCUUCGGAUCGUAAAACUCUGUUGUUAGAGAAGAACACGAGUGAGAGUAACUGUUCAUUCGAUGACGGUAUCUAACCAGCAAGUCACGGCUAACUACGUGCCCG